This 67-nucleotide transfer RNA is filed under the name Alteromonas mediterranea U4. RNAcentral describes it as "tRNA-Und (NNN) (tRNA-Und-NNN-7-1)". It matches the Rfam family "tRNA". From Rfam's summary of the family: Transfer RNA (tRNA) molecules are approximately 80 nucleotides in length. Their secondary structure includes four short double-helical elements and three loops (D, anti-codon, and T loops). Further hydrogen bonds mediate the characteristic L-shaped molecular structure. tRNAs have two regions of fundamental functional importance: the anti-codon, which is responsible for specific mRNA codon recognition, and the 3' end, to which the tRNAs corresponding amino acid is attached (by aminoacyl-tRNA synthetases). tRNAs cope with the degeneracy of the genetic code in two manners: having more than one tRNA (with a specific anti-codon) for a particular amino acid; and 'wobble' base-pairing, i.e. permitting non-standard base-pairing at the 3rd anti-codon position. The record is from RNAcentral. Lineage: Bacteria; Pseudomonadati; Pseudomonadota; Gammaproteobacteria; Alteromonadales; Alteromonadaceae. RNAcentral also lists the same sequence under 1 other name.
GUCCCCUUCGUCUAGAGGCCUAGGACACCGCCCUGUAACAGGGGUUCGAAUCCCCUAGGGGACGCCA